Long non-coding RNA from Dreissena polymorpha, 3193 nucleotides. RefSeq lists it as uncharacterized. The transcript is spliced from 3 exons. The record is from RefSeq and is a predicted model, not a curated record. NCBI's taxonomy places the organism in Eukaryota, Metazoa, Mollusca, Bivalvia, Myida, Dreissenidae.
CAAACGCUACCGCCGAGUUUGAAAACUGUUUGAAAAAUGUUUCUACGAUAUUAGGAGGGAGCGACUCCGGUGGAAAACGACCGGCACCACCUGAUUCUUCGGAAAAACAGAAAGAGAAUUGGAAAAAAUAUGAAGAAAAAAGGCCCGAACGAAAAUUUUGCGAAAGUUGGAAGUUGGGCAGGGAUUGGCUGACGUAUGACAGUGAAGCUUAGGCAAUGAAGUGCACUUUGUGCCUAGAAUUCUACAAGAGCGGCGAUUCUCUUAAAAAUGAAAAAGCUACUCAUAAGUUUCGUGGUCAGAACACAUUUCUGGAUGGCUCUAAGAACAUUCGAAUUUCUGCUGUGACUGAACACGAAAGUUCAAAAUCACACAGGAGAGCCAGUGAUGUGUUAAAGGCAGCCAAUUCGAGCACUGAAGAGGUCACCAAAAGCCAAGCCGGCCAAGCACUUAUUUCACUGAAAAGUGCAGAGCGCCACAGGUUGGCUUAUUUAUUUAGAAAUGCCCACUAUGUUGCCAAAUGCAAUAUGUCACUAAGUGACUAUUGCAUGCUCUCUGAACUUGACAAGGCGAAGGGCCUUGACAUUGGUAGUACAUACUUAAGUGAAAAAGCGGCACUGAAAUUCAUCAUUUCAAUAGCUGAUUUUGAAUCGAAUAAACACACUGAAAAAGUAAGAGCAGCCCCCUUCCAUUCCCUUAUUAUGGAUGGUUCCACCGACCUCUCUGGUGAUGAGCAGGAAUCGCUCUACAUACGGUUUUCAAAACAUGGAAAAGUCAGUGAACAAUUUGUGGCCAUCGGUUUACCAGCCUCAACAUGCUCCGCUGACCUCUUUCAGCACGUCAAAAAUGUGUAUGAUGAAUGUGGCUUAAACACAGGUACAUUUUAGUUUAAGUGGCUUUAAUAGAAAAUGUAUUUAAUAUAUUAUGACUGUAUUCUUAAAAGCAUUUCAAAUGCAAUAUGUAUACUCAAUAACAUAUGUACACUUAUGUAUUCACAAAAUGUUUGUACAGUGCAAAUCUAACGUCAUUUAUGCCUUCAAAAUUGUAAAGAAAUUCUAAUUGUUUUUUGUGAAAAUGUUUACAAAACUCUCUGCUUUAAACAAGUUUUUUCUUGAAACUUUGCUUGCUUUUCUGCGUUUAAAUCAAAUGUUUCUUUUUUAACCAGGUUCGAUGGUUGGAAUGUGCUCAGAUGGGGCUGCCAACAUGACUUGCAUUAAAUCUGGAUUGGCUGCACUUCUUCGAAGAGAAGUUGGGGAGGAGUUUUUGAAUGUCCGUUGUCUGGCACACAGACUUGAACUUGCAGUUCGAGAUGUAUUCAAGACAGUUAAACUCUACGACAAAUUGAUGACUCUUUUAAUUGGUCUGAACUUUUUUUAUAUGAAACAUAAUAACAAAAAUAAAAACGGCUUGAUCACAACAAUGGCAGCUCUCAAUGUCAAAGGCCUUCUACCACCGAAGGUCACAGGCACAUGCUGGCUCUCACACAUUUAUGAUGCACUGACCAGUCUAAUGAGGACUCAUGAGGCAUAUGCAGCCCAUCUGUAAACGCUGUCGCAUACUAACCCAAAGGCUGGUGGCUUUGGAAAGCUGAUACUUGACAAGAACUUGAUGGCUUUUGCCAUUUUUAUGCAGGAACUUCUAAAGCCAUUGAUGCAGCUGUCAAAGAAGCUUCAGAGCAAAAACAGAACUUUGGCAGACAGCAUGAUCUGGGUUGAAACAACAGCAGAUCUCACUGAUGAAGUAGAUGAAAGACUUUGGUGAUGACAGUGUGCAGGCUAUUGUAGCUGCCUUUCCUGAAACCCUUGGUAGAGAGGGCUUUGAUGCUGAUAUAGUGAUGACAGAGUGGAAGACUCUCAAGAAGCUGCUUGUUAAAGUAUUGUUUUACACAUUCAAUUACUUAAAAUGUACAGGAUGUCCAUUUGUUACUAACUUAGAACAUAACACUGCAAUGCAUCAUAUUUCAUUUACAAUAUAAUGUACUAAAAUUUACCUAAACUGAUUUGCCCUGUAUUGUCAUUUAAAUUAAAGUGACCGCUCAACUCAAAUAUUAUGACUAUGUUAAAUUAAUCAUUAAUGUAACACAAUAUGUAUAUACUCAUUGAGUCAUGUCACACAAGAUCAUGAAGAAAUAAAAACAUUCUUGUACUACUGAGGAUAAGCGGAGAUCCCAAGUAUCAAUAAGGUAUAUGUAAUGAUUUUAAUCAACAAUUAUUGUACAGGCAUGGUGUAAAGCUCACUGACUGUGACAUAACAUGGGAUAUGGUGUUUGAAGAGGACUUGCCUAAUAUCAACCUCAUCAUUGACCUGGUGCAAAGCCUCCCUCCUACAAGCGUGUCCUGUGAGACCAGUUUCUCUCAAAUGAAGCUUAUAAAAACAGCACGCAGAUUGAACAUGAAGGGCACGACAUUAAACAGCAUAAUGCAGACCAAGUUGUUGUCAUCAGAUGUUGCUGGCUUUGAGCCUAACCCAGAUAUUGAUUAUUGGCUGGUAAACAAAUUUGCUGAAAAUUCAUUGUUAAUUUUUAUAUAAACUGUAAAGCAUUUACUUUAUUGAUAAUGCUAAUUCAUAUAAAAAUAAUAUUUACACAUAAUUUUGAAUUGUUCUCCAGUGUACAGCAGAGAGACCACAUGGACAUAGGCGGGUCAAUUAUGCACGCAAGAAUGUACAAGAAGGUGUCAGUGUUGUUACGAGUACUAGCCAUGUCGAGUUGGAAGAAGAUGAAGAUGAAAGCUUGCCAAUUGAAACUGACAUUUUGAAUGCAGUUUAUUGUGGCUACAAGACGAUGACUCAGACUGUGUUGUGGAUUUUCAAAAUGAAAAUGAAAUGCUCAUUAAAUCUUUUUGUACAUAGUGCAAUUAUAAUGAUAAAUGUGCUCAAUAGUUUCAUCAAACUAAACAAGUACCAUGUAUGGUCGCUUUUCGUGUUAUUUUAUUAAUAUAUUUAUGUAGUUGGUAGGUCCUGUAAAAAAGAGGAGGUCCUGUAUUUUUUCCCAGUUUACAGGACCUACUGUCCUGUAAAAAUUUGACUAGUUUGGUGGAGACUGGUAGGAGCCACGUUCUAGAAGGACUGCGCUUGAUGCAUGUGCGUUAAGUGUUUUCAAAUUAGCCCCUAUGCAGUCAACACAUGUGUGCCUUAACUGGAUUUGUGUAAAGAAGGAACCUUGCUUUGAGCAAAAAAUACCAUGAUAAAAGCCAGU